GAUGAACGCUGGCGGCGUGCCUAACACAUGCAAGUCGAGCGUGAACCGUCUGAAUGAAACUUCGGUCGAGUGAGGAUGGGGAAAGCGGCGGACGGGUGAGUAACGCGUAGGCAACCUGCCCCGUACAGAGGGAUAGCCUCGGGAAACCGGGAUUAAGACCUCAUAAUACCAUUAUCUCACAUGUGAUAAUGGUCAAAGAUUUUAUCGGUAUGGGAUGGGCCUGCGUCUGAUUAGCUGGUUGGUGGGGUAACGGCUCACCAAGGCGACGAUCAGUAGCCGACCUGAGAGGGUAAUCGGCCACAUUGGAACUGAGACACGGUCCAAACUCCUACGGGAGGCAGCAGUGGGGAAUAUUGCACAAUGGGCGAAAGCCUGAUGCAGCAACGCCGCGUGAGCGAGGAAGGCCUUUGGGUCGUAAAGCUCUGUCGAGGAGGAAGAUAAUGACGGUACUCCUCGAGGAAGCCCCGGCUAACUACGUGCCAGCAGCCGCGGUAAUACG
Molecule: ribosomal RNA, 499 nt
Filed under: uncultured bacterium
Lineage: Bacteria
Description: bacterial SSU rRNA
Rfam family: Bacterial small subunit ribosomal RNA
Source: RNAcentral